Molecule: long non-coding RNA, 888 nt
Filed under: Nicotiana tabacum (common tobacco)
Lineage: Eukaryota; Viridiplantae; Streptophyta; Magnoliopsida; Solanales; Solanaceae
Source: RNAcentral
UCUAAUUGUGAUAUUAUCGUCGAGCGCAGCUUGUUGUUGUUGGUCAAUGCCUUUGCCCGCGAAAAAUAGUGGAAAUCAAAAGAGGAAUUGCGUAAAACGGAUAAAUGAGCGUAAAGUUAUGCCGUUUUAAGGUUUUACAUCUUCGCACCUAAAGCGGAAGGAGGAAAGGUAUUAAGAGAAUUUAGAGUGCAAGGAAUGUCAGAUGCGAUCAUACUAGCACUAACGCAUCGGAUCCCAUUAGAACUCCGAAGUAAAGAGUGCUAGGGCGAGAGUAGUACUAGGAUGGGUGACCCCCUGGGAAGUCCUCGUGUUGCAUCCCUCUUUUUAGGCAAAAUUUAUAUCUUACUUCUUUUAAUGUAUCGGCCGUAUGUUUAAUAAAUUCACAAAUGAGUUUUAAGCAGUGUAAACGAAAUAGAUAUUUUUUUACACGAAAUAACAGUAUUUUAAAAGUUAUAGUUAUGAAAAAAACAUCAAAAAAGCAAUAUAUAGUAAAUACGGAAAAUAUUUACGGGCUUAACAACGCUGCACUUGACACGUCACUACGCCUUGACCUCGAAGGCGACAUCCGUAAAACGUCUAGUUGAGACGUCACCGUUCCAUGCGGCCUAGUGUGAUAGGCAUGUAGCUAGGCCUUAAGGCCCCUCUAAUUGUGAUAUUAUCGUCGCGCGCGGCUUGUUGUUGUUGGUCAAUGCCUUUGCCCCCGGAAAAUAGUGGAAAUCAAAAGAGGAAUUGCGUAAAACGGAUAAAUGAGCGUAAAGUUAUGUCGUUUUAAGGUUUUACAUCUUCGCACCUAAAGCGAAAGUAGGAAAGGUAUUAAGAGAAUUUAGAGUGCAAGGAAUGUCGGAUGCGAUCAUACCAGCACUAACGCACCGGAUCCCAUCAGAACUC